Salarias fasciatus (jewelled blenny) is the source of this 420-nucleotide long non-coding RNA. RefSeq lists it as uncharacterized. The record is from RefSeq and is a predicted model, not a curated record. Lineage: Eukaryota; Metazoa; Chordata; Actinopteri; Blenniiformes; Blenniidae. The transcript is spliced from 3 exons.
UCAGCUGUGAGCUCCAAGUCCUCCCAUCUGAGAGAGCUGGACCUGAGCUACAAUCAUCCAGGAGACUCAGGAGUGGAGAAGCUGUUUGCUGAUGUGGAGGAUCCACAGUGCAGUCUGAAGACUCUCUGGUAUGGACACACAACAGAAGCUCAUCAUGGAGACUGAGAUUAUCUUCAAAAUGUCUCUGCUUAUUGUAUACAAUGAUUUUUGUGACACAAGUACCAAGAAAACCUGAACCAACGGAACGGAAAAGGAGAGAUUUUGGCAAUAAAAGAAACUUUUUGGAGCUGGAAACCGAUCUUGUCAGGUCUGAGGUGGAGGGUGGACCAUGGUGGAGAGCAGAGGUUAAAACCUGGUCCGAGGAAGUAUUUCUCUCAACUUGAACUGGACACAAACACAAUGAGCAGAAAACUCAAACUG